UCAACACUGAGUGAUGGCUGUACUGUUGAAGACAAGAAUCUCAGCAGGUUUUCUCAUUCUCUCAUUCAUAAGAUGUGGGUAUUGCUGACAACAUCUCCAUUCCGAAUUCCGAAACACCUCAGAACUGAGGAGGCAAUUAGAAGUCAAGCACACUGGUUCAUUUAAUAUGCCAAUUCAAAUUUCCCACUUGCCAGUGGGUAGGAUCUGAACUCUCGUCUCGGGGCUAAUCAUUUGGCUCUAUUGCUGUAAGUCCGGCAGCUUAACCACUACACCACUACAGAUAUGCCACCAGCAUGGCACCACCUGUGUGAGCAGCAGGGUCAAGUACUGGCUCAGGGUAGCAGCACCACAAGACUUAAAUAGACUAGAGUGGAGUAAAACCUGGCAGGCUGCUGAAUCUCCAGGUGGAAUUUAAAAGGAAGUGAGACUAUGGUUACUGACAGGACACAGUCACACAGAAGCUCUACACCCGAAGAGCCAAGUGGAAAAGAGGAUGGGGCAUUUGAAGAUGGUGCACUGACUUUCUGACUUAGUGUCUACAACCGAUUUAUUUAUUUGUUUUGAUAUACAGCGUGUUCGUCGGCCAUUCCAGCCCACUGAGCCUGCACUACCAUGUGACCAAGUACUCUAGUGACCAGAGUGUCCUUGGAACGUGGAAGGUAACUGGAGCUCCCAGAUGAGAUCCAUCCAUCAUGGGCAGAGCGUACAAACUGCUUACAAACAGGUCAAACAAUAACAAAAUGGUUACAGGUCCGAAGAAGACUAUUCAGCCUAUCAGACUCAAUGCCAAAGCAGACAAGCUAGUCUCACCCCACCAUCUUCUCCUCAUGAGCUUAGUUAUCAGAAAAGAAAUCACGCUGCUAAAGAUUCUCAUGCCUGCGUUGGUUUGCCGGAGCCAGGACCUCCAAGGAGUCCCAGAAUUCAAAGGUCAACUGAAGGCGUAACCAAUCAGGACCAAUCAGAAAGCAAACUGGGGUCUAUAUAAAUGCAAGCACUCCCGGAGAGAAACACCAACAACUGCACACUGGGAAUGUCACCUCGCCUGGUGCUGAAACGUCUGCAAGCUAAUUACCAAGCUCGCCGAAUAUCAUAUAGGGAGAAUAUAACGGGAACAGUGUAAAUAGGUGCCCAAUAGUUACUGGGGAUUUGGUGGACCAAGGACUCUACUUUUGUGCUGCAUGGCUCUAUCACAUACAGAAGUGAAGUCUAAUCUCUGGAAUCAAGAAGGAAAAAGUUAAUAUUCUCCCAUCCAGCUCUCCUUAACAAUUACGCUUUUUACUGACAUUCAGAAUGUUGUCUUGCUGCAUUUACCAUUGCAACCCCCUCCCUCCCUCUGCCCCUUUCGAAGUGACCUUUCCACAGUGUGUGUCUGCACCAGUCAGCUCUGUGAUGAAUAGCUAGUCUAGAUCCCCUCUGUACCAAGCACGCACAGCUGUCUCAUUCUUUAUUAAGCAAAAAAUAUCGGGGACCUUGCCAGGGCAUAAGUCGCCACUUCUCUUACAGGGACCAGCUGCAAGAUAUCUUGGCCAAAAGCGACAGAUUCCAGUUUCUUUUUAUAUAAAAAAAAAUUGACAUUUAAAUAGCUUUGUGGACAAUAAGACUUGGUUCCAUCAGCACUGCUCCCAUUCAAGUAUUAACCCUCUCAUACUGGAACAAAAAAAAAGAGACAUCAGGACCUGUGGCUCUCUUCUCCUGUCCCCUCACCACAGCAUCCUCACUCCCACAAUAGGAGGCAGAGUUGGCAUGGCACCAGGCAUGCAAGGGCAAUAAAGUAACGCUAGUGAACUGCAAUAAGAGAAGAAAAAUACAAGUCAGAGAGUCACAUGGUGCCUGGUGGGGGCAGGGGGACAGCGAGCAUCGAUUCCACAUUAGCGUGAGUCACCAAUUAGAAGAUUUAGAAGAAGAUUAGAUUUAUUUGUUGUACAUACAUCAAAACAGUGAGACAUACAAUGAAAUGCAGCAGUUACUUCAAAUCAAAUUACGAAGGGCUGGGCUGGGCAGUUUGCAAGUAUUGCCAUGCUUCUGCCACCAGCGUAGCGUGCCCACAACUCACUAACCCUAACCGUGCUUCCCUGGACCGUGGAAGGAAACCGGAAUGCCUAAAUAGAAUGAAAGGUGAGAUUUACUCAGGGCCCCUUUCGCCAUUGGGGUCUGAGUGCCAUGUAAACUUUUUGGGCAUGUAUGAAAAGCUUCCCAUGGAUUCUUCAUCAGGAUCAGCCUGUCGCAAACAAGUGACACAACCAGACAUUCCAGGAGAAGCAGAAAUUGACAUGCACGUUCUGGUGUACUGCAUACUGCCCCUACAUUGGACUAAAUUGAACUAAAUACAGGCUGGUGAUUGUUUUGAGGAGUACCUAUGAUUAGUCCGCAGGGAUGCACCAGCAGUUCCUGUCAUUCUCAAUCCCACUCCCAUUCUACCCUGUUAGUUUAUAAUUUUCCCCACUGGCUUAAGAAAGGUCCAACACAGACUUGAAAGAAAACAUUUUAUCUUCAAUCUACGUGUUUCUCAAACUUCUAAAAUCAACCUUGAAUUUUCAGGUAAACUACUCCCUCAUUACCCUGCUUGCUCUCCUAAUGGUUGGUACUCAUGCUCCUUAUCAUCUACAACUCUUGUUCUCAGUAUUUCAUGCUUUUAUUUGCACAUGUUGUCUUAUUGGUUGUUGGCCAGUCUUUGUUUGUGUGUAGUGUUACAUUGAUUUUAAUUUUUAUUGUAUUUAGAGAAAUGCAAUAAAAGAGCCCUUCUGGCCCUUCAAUCUGCACAGUUCAGCAAACCCCAAUUUAACCCUCAACUAAUCAUGUGAAAAUUUACAAUGACUAGUUACCCUACUAACCAGUACUUCUUUGGACUGCGGGAAGAAGCCAAAGGACCCAGAGAAAACCCACACAUUCCAUGGGGAGGACGUAUAGACUCCUUACAGAUAACGUCGGAAUUGAACUCUGAUCUCUGACACCCCAAACAGUAGUAGCACCACGCUAAUUGCUACACUGGCAUUAACGUUCUACUGUGAAUGCCUGCAAUGAAAAUUAAUCUUUAAGUCAUAAAUGGUUACAUAUACAUACUUUGAUAAUAAAUUUACUUUGAACUUUGGUAUUUCCAAAUCAUUCAUCAUACAGUCUUUGGUCUUGCAUCUCACUUCUCCUUUAGUUCGGCUUUUGAAACUAUAAACCAAUCACUCUCCCUCAAUACUCAGUACUGAGGGUCAUUAACUGGUU
Molecule: long non-coding RNA, 3213 nt
Organism: Hypanus sabinus (Atlantic stingray)
Lineage: Eukaryota; Metazoa; Chordata; Chondrichthyes; Myliobatiformes; Dasyatidae
Exons: 4
Source: RefSeq, a predicted model, not a curated record